Formica exsecta is the source of this 364-nucleotide long non-coding RNA. RefSeq lists it as uncharacterized. The record is from RefSeq and is a predicted model, not a curated record. NCBI's taxonomy places the organism in Eukaryota, Metazoa, Arthropoda, Insecta, Hymenoptera, Formicidae. The transcript has 3 exons.
AAUGUUUCUGGUAACCGCAAUCCGGACAGACCACCAAUAACCGAGACGGCACCCAAUAUGACUAAAGAAUUUAAGCAACAAUGACAGACUCACGAGAUAUGUUACGAAGGGUAUAAUGAUGAGUCCGAGACCGCUGAUAUAUGCGGAGAAACCAAUAGCAACUCCACGUAAUUGCGUAGGAUAGAGUUCUCCGGCGAAGGGAUAAAUAAUUAGAAAAGAGGCCGAUAUUGCAGACUUCGAUAUGAGAAACAAUAUCAAGCAAUAUUGCUACGUUGCAUCAACCACCUAAUUAUGUUGCUAUUAUCGUUAAUUAAUCAAGUCAUUAACUGAUUGGCCAGCGGUGCGUACCGGGCGACAACAGCAC